Molecule: ribosomal RNA, 293 nt
Filed under: uncultured bacterium
Lineage: Bacteria
Description: partial 16S ribosomal RNA
Rfam family: Bacterial small subunit ribosomal RNA
Source: RNAcentral
GUGGAUUAGAUACCCUGGUAGUCCACGCUGUAAACGAUGGGCGCUAGGUGUGGGGGGUUUUUAAUCCCUCCGUGCCGCAGCUAACGCAUUAAGCGCCCCGCCUGGGGAGUACGGCCGCAAGGUUAAAACUCAAAGGAAUUGACGGGGGCCCGCACAAGCGGUGGAGCAUGUGGUUUAAUUCGACGCAACGCGAAGAACCUUACCUGGGUUUGACAUCUGCGGAACCUCAUGGAAACAUGGGGGUGCCCAGCAAUGGGAGCCGCAAGACAGGUGCUGCAUGGCUGUCGACAGCU